This 319-nucleotide ribosomal RNA is filed under the name uncultured bacterium. Its description in RNAcentral is "bacterial SSU rRNA". It matches the Rfam family "Bacterial small subunit ribosomal RNA", at positions 470 to 789 of the family's 1533-position model. The record is from RNAcentral.
UGUAUGUACCGUUCGAAUAAGCAUCGGCUAAUUCCGUGCCAGCAGCCGCGGUAAUACGGAAGAUGCGAGCGUUAUCCGGAUUUAUUGGGUUUAAAGGGAGCGUAGGCGGUAUGUUAAGUCUGCGGUAAAAUGUCAGGGCCCAACCUUGGCUUGCCGUGGAUACUGGCGUACUUGAAUGUGCACAAGGAAGGUGGAAUUCGUCGUGUAGCGGUGAAAUGCUUAGAUAUGACGAAGAACUCCGAUUGCGAAGGCAGCCUUCUGGGGCAUGAUUGACGCUGAGGCUCGAAAGUGCGGGAAUCAAACAGGAUUAGAUACCCUG